Arabidopsis lyrata subsp. lyrata is the source of this 610-nucleotide long non-coding RNA. RefSeq lists it as uncharacterized. The record is from RefSeq and is a predicted model, not a curated record. The transcript has 3 exons. NCBI's taxonomy places the organism in Eukaryota, Viridiplantae, Streptophyta, Magnoliopsida, Brassicales, Brassicaceae.
ACUGUAUAAUUUGAAAAAGUAACAACCAUAUUUGGCAUUCAACUCGAUUUAUUAUUCUAGCCAAUGAUAAUAAGAUAUAAAAGAUAUUGCUUGCUAACAAAGAUAUUUUUCUAACGUAUUUAAAACUAAUCCUAUUGUUUUGACCUCUAUAUAUGCUUUCAUUCGUAAGAAGUAGGAACACAUUCUACUUCCGUGAAAUAUAUUCGAAAUAUCAAGUUAAUCUCCUUUUCUACUAAUAUUCGCUUUUGCCUCGGUUUUGUUCAUCAUCGUAGUUUCAAUAUUUAACAAAUUCUACAUCUCAUAUCUCUACACCAAUGAUUCAUAACGUUUUAAAAUAACUAAUGUCAUACUUUGGAAAGAUCAAUUGUCCUCUAGCAAUGACAAAAGAUAUUUCAUAUACAAGUAAAGAUUUAACUUGCUGAACUCUAAGCAGCCUAAUCUCAGUUUCCAAAAUCUUGAAAUUCAAGUGCACGCAAUUUUUUCGAUUUUUUAACUUUGUUAUAAAUAAUGUUGACAACAAUACUCUUAUUAAAAAUCAAAGAUAUUUGUUUGCUUUAUAUUCAAGUUGAGAUUUGUUAAUCUUAAUAAUUAUUGAUUGUUUACUCAAAAA